Carassius carassius (crucian carp) is the source of this 1069-nucleotide long non-coding RNA. RefSeq lists it as uncharacterized. The transcript is spliced from 3 exons. The record is from RefSeq and is a predicted model, not a curated record. Lineage: Eukaryota; Metazoa; Chordata; Actinopteri; Cypriniformes; Cyprinidae.
GUGUUUUAAAUAACUUCUGUUUGCGAUCUAAUGUGGAUUUUGUUCACCAUAUAAGACAGAAAUAUUUAUAUUCAAUGUAAAAGAUCUUCAUGUGGAUCAUGCAUACAAAUAUAUGCAAAUAUCUCACUGGAUUAUUACAAUUAAUGGCAAAAUGAAUGUGUGGAAAUGUAAACUAAUAUAUCCCACUGACACACUACAACAAAAGAUAUAAAUAAUUGGCUUAAAACUAUUUUUUUCAAUGUGAAAAUACUAACAUGCCUAAUACUUCUGCACAGUACUGUAUAUAUUAACAUUUUAUUAGUGGUAUUAUAAAAGAAUGAGUAUGCAGUUGUGACAAUCUAUAGAGUUUGUUUAAAGCAAGGUUAUCUGUAGUCAGUGUUUAUAUAAUGUUUAAUAACUUUUAUAUGCAUGUAUAAAUAAACCUAUGUAUGUUUUUGAUUCAACAGCUUCCCCUGGAAAUCCUCAGUGAAGUUAUUUUGUCAGCGGGUGACUGCAUAUUUGACACUGUCUCUUGUUUGCAGAUGGUUUAGGGAUGUGGUCACUCAAGAAGUUUUCCGGAAAGCGGCACACUUUGCCUGGCUAGACAUUGUGGCCAACUGGAAGAAUUGUCCUCCUGUCUACCAGAACGAGUUCAGACGGAUGUACAGCAUCAGGGAAUGCUUGCAGUGCAGAGCCCUUUUCAAGUUUAACCCACCAGGGUACAGGGAAGAGGCCGGCGUGGUGAUCUUCGGGGCUUUUGUUCACAGGAUUUUGUUCCAAGGACUGAAACACAUUUGUGUGCAUAGGCUUCAUUAAAGGGAAAUAGAGAAUGAACUGAGAUCAACUGGUUUAAUGUAUUAAUUGAUGUCAUUUAAAGUUAAACUUUGCAGUCUAUAAUGUUUUAAUAAAAAAGCUAUGGCAAACACGUGCAUGACAACAGGUUACAGUGAUUUACAUCAGUCUAUCAUUCUUUAAGGUUUCUCAUAUUUGAUGGUAACAUCAUUUGCUAUGCAUUGCUCAUAAUGAAUUCUUAAUUUAGUUGUAACAAUUCGGUGUAAUUUUUCAAUUACCAAUGAUUUUAUAAAGUGUU